Choloepus didactylus (southern two-toed sloth) is the source of this 418-nucleotide long non-coding RNA. RefSeq lists it as uncharacterized. NCBI's taxonomy places the organism in Eukaryota, Metazoa, Chordata, Mammalia, Pilosa, Megalonychidae. The record is from RefSeq and is a predicted model, not a curated record. The transcript has 3 exons.
CUGCUUCUGUGAUUUUUCCUGUUACUGACCCUUUGGGGAGAGUUAGUUCCUCUUUUAUGAACAAGGAAACUGGCUCAAAGGGGACAAGGGACGUGGAUGAAGUUGACGCAGGGAGGAAACUGGGGCAGGAACCCAGCCUAUUUACCACUCUCGGGCUCCACCUGGGAGCCCUGGGAUCAAUUCCUGCCUGUGAUUUGGCGGAGAGACCUCUGGUGGUGAAAGAGUUUACCAGACCCGGGUUCUACCCUCAGCUUUCCUAUUGUCUUGCUGUGUGGCCUUGGGUGCCUAACAUUCACUAUCAGUGCCAUCCCCAGAUACACAGAUUUCCUUGGGAGGAGGAGUUAACUGAGUCCCUGAAACUUCAGUGUGGAUGAUGAAGUUCUUGAAAGCUUUUCCCCUAAAAAGAGCUAUUUAGGGC